This 812-nucleotide ribosomal RNA is filed under the name Streptomyces sp. Its description in RNAcentral is "bacterial SSU rRNA". It matches the Rfam family "Bacterial small subunit ribosomal RNA", at positions 90 to 916 of the family's 1533-position model. The record is from RNAcentral. Lineage: Bacteria; Bacillati; Actinomycetota; Actinomycetes; Kitasatosporales; Streptomycetaceae.
GAUUAGUGGCGACGGGUGAGUAACACGUGGGCAAUCUGCCCUUCACUCUGGGACAAGCCCUGGAAACGGGGUCUAAUACCGGAUAAUACUUUCUCCCUCCUGGGAGAAGGUUGAAAGCUCCGGCGGUGAAGGAUGAGCCCGCGGCCUAUCAGCUAGUUGGUGGGGUAAUGGCCUACCAAGGCGACGACGGGUAGCCGGCCUGAGAGGGCGACCGGCCACACUGGGACUGAGACACGGCCCAGACUCCUACGGGAGGCAGCAGUGGGGAAUAUUGCACAAUGGGCGAAAGCCUGAUGCAGCGACGCCGCGUGAGGGAUGACGGCCUUCGGGUUGUAAACCUCUUUCAGCAGGGAAGAAGCGAAAGUGACGGUACCUGCAGAAGAAGCGCCGGCUAACUACGUGCCAGCAGCCGCGGUAAUACGUAGGGCGCAAGCGUUGUCCGGAAUUAUUGGGCGUAAAGAGCUCGUAGGCGGCUUGUCACGUCGGUUGUGAAAGCCCGGGGCUUAACCCCGGGUCUGCAGUCGAUACGGGCAGGCUAGAGUGUGGUAGGGGAGAUCGGAAUUCCUGGUGUAGCGGUGAAAUGCGCAGAUAUCAGGAGGAACACCGGUGGCGAAGGCGGAUCUCUGGGCCAUUACUGACGCUGAGGAGCGAAAGCGUGGGGAGCGAACAGGAUUAGAUACCCUGGUAGUCCACGCCGUAAACGUUGGGAACUAGGUGUUGGCGACAUUCCACGUCGUCGGUGCCGCAGCUAACGCAUUAAGUUCCCCGCCUGGGGAGUACGGCCGCAAGGCUAAACUCAAAGGAAUUGACGG